CCUACGGGGGGCAGCAGUAAGGAAUAUUGGUCAAUGGACGGAAGUCUGAACCAGCCAUCCCGCGUGCAGGAUGACUGCCCUAUGGGUUGUAAACUGCUUUUAGCAGAGACGAAACGCCUUCAUUUAUGAGGGUCUGACGGUAUCUGCAGAAUAAGCACCGGCUAACUCCGUGCCAGCAGCCGCGGUAAUACGGAGGGUGCAAGCGUUAUCCGGAAUCACUGGGUUUAAAGGGUGCGUAGGCGGAUAUUUAAGUCAGUGGUGAAAUCUUGUCGCUUAACGAUAAAAUUGCCAUUGAUACUGAAUGUCUUGAAUUGGGUUGAGGUUAGCGGAAUGUGACAUGUAGCGGUGAAAUGCAUAGAUAUGUCAUGGAACACCAAUUGCGAAGGCAGCUAGCUGGGCCUUGAUUGACGCUGAGGCACGAAAGCGUGGGUAGCGAACAGGAUUAGAUACCCUGGUAGUC
Molecule: ribosomal RNA, 460 nt
Filed under: uncultured Saprospiraceae bacterium
Lineage: Bacteria; Pseudomonadati; Bacteroidota; Saprospiria; Saprospirales; Saprospiraceae
Description: bacterial SSU rRNA
Rfam family: Bacterial small subunit ribosomal RNA
Source: RNAcentral